ACAUUGGUGAAAGGAGCAGAAGU
RNAcentral lists this non-coding RNA (23 nucleotides) under Cricetulus griseus (Chinese hamster). Lineage: Eukaryota; Metazoa; Chordata; Mammalia; Rodentia; Cricetidae. The record is from RNAcentral.